UCGGCUUCGGUCCACAUCUAUCUACCAUCUAUAUGUGUAUGGUGCUCUCGCCGCCGGCACCCUUCCGAAAUCCGAGUCUGUCUUGCCCGCUGCUCAUGCCGGGGGCUUAGCUAGCCUAAGGUUUUAGCCAGAGCCAGGUUCCUGCUUAGGGUUUUAGCGGGCUAGCUAACCUUCAGGGGAACACCGCGCGCAGAUUCUUCUCGCAAGCGUAUGUAUGUAUGUAUGUAUGUACAAUACUAACGGAUUCAUUGCAACAACUUUCUUUCUUCUCUGAUGGCAGGACACCUCAGCACCAUUCUCACCGGAGGCGACGCCAAGAAAGUCCCCAUCAUCGGGGACGCGCUUGCCAAUGUAAAUUAACCAACUAUGUUACCCUUAGCCAUGCAUGGCCGUGACACCUUUUUGUAUACGUGUUUGCCGCCCUUUCCUGCAGUUCGUCAAGAAUACCGGCAAGCAUGGGAAAGACGACGGCA
This 473-nucleotide long non-coding RNA is filed under the name Hordeum vulgare. Its description in RNAcentral is "long non-coding RNA (HVUL_LNC000046)". Lineage: Eukaryota; Viridiplantae; Streptophyta; Magnoliopsida; Poales; Poaceae. The record is from RNAcentral.